UACAGAGACUGCAAGCGUUAUUCGGAUUCACUGGGCGUAAAGGGUGCGCAGGCGGCCGUGUGUGUCAGGUGUGAAAGCCCGGGGCUUAACCCCGGAAUUGCGCCUGAAACUACAUGGCUAGAGCAUUGGAGAGGGUAGCGGAAUUCACGGUGUAGCAGUGAAAUGCGUAGAUAUCGUGAGGAACACCAAUGGCGAAGGCAGCUCGCUGGGACGGUACUGACGCUGAGACGCGAAAGCGUGGGGAGCAAACAGG
RNAcentral lists this ribosomal RNA (253 nucleotides) under uncultured bacterium. Its description in RNAcentral is "partial 16S ribosomal RNA". It matches the Rfam family "Bacterial small subunit ribosomal RNA", at positions 524 to 776 of the family's 1533-position model. The record is from RNAcentral.